ACGCAGGCGCAGGGCGUCUGACGUCAUCUGAAGCGGCCUCCCUCCCGAUCUGGCGCCAAAUUUGAAUUUAAAAGUGCUGUCUUGCUGAGCUCCGGUGCCUGUGUGCCUGGCAGCCGAGCUCUAGCGUUUUAAAGGUAUAGGCCUGUCCUAUUGUCAGGCAAACCUUUUUGUUAAAUAUGGGAACCUAACCUUGAACUGUUCA
This is a long non-coding RNA of Bufo bufo (common toad), 202 nucleotides long. RefSeq lists it as uncharacterized. Lineage: Eukaryota; Metazoa; Chordata; Amphibia; Anura; Bufonidae. The record is from RefSeq and is a predicted model, not a curated record. The transcript is spliced from 3 exons.